UACGUAGGGUGCGAGCGUUGUCCGGAAUUAUUGGGCGUAAAGGGCUCGUAGGCGGUCUGUCGCGUCGGGAGUGAAAACUCGGGGCUUAACUCCGAGCCUGCUUCUGAUACGGGCAGACUAUAGGUAUGCAGGGGAGAAUGGAAUUCCUGGUGUAGCGGUGAAAUGCGCAGAUAUCAGGAGGAACACCAGUGGCGAAGGCGGGUCUCUGGGCCGAUACUGACGCUGAGGAGCGAAAGCGUGGGGAGCGAACAGG
RNAcentral lists this ribosomal RNA (253 nucleotides) under uncultured bacterium. Its description in RNAcentral is "partial 16S ribosomal RNA". It matches the Rfam family "Bacterial small subunit ribosomal RNA", at positions 524 to 776 of the family's 1533-position model. The record is from RNAcentral.